GUGACUAUCUUAUGUUGGAGCUGUCGAGGUUUGGGGUUGGACUCGACAGUUGGCGAGCUUCGCUGGCUUGUGAAGCUACACCGACCCUCCCUCCUCUUUCUGUCUGAAACGAAGAUGAGGGACACCCGUGUGAAGAAUUUUAUGUGGUCUCUAGGGUUUUCUGGUUGCUAUGUUGUUAGUUUUGUGGGACUCAGCGGUGGCCUUGCUUUGUUCUGGAAGGCCUCGACAAAGGUUACUGUGAAGGCUGCCAAUAAGCGUUUCAUUGAUGUUCAUGUGAAGAUUGAUGAGGGGGUGGCCUGGCGUGCCACCUUUGUGUAUGGGGAGCCAAGGAGAGAAGAUAUGUAUCUGUUUUGGGAGCUCCUCAAACGAUUACAUCCAUUGUGGGAUGGACCGUGGUUAUGUUGUGGAGACUUCAACGAGGUCUUGGCUAAGGACGAACAUUGUGGCCCUUGA
RNAcentral lists this ribosomal RNA (453 nucleotides) under Triticum aestivum (bread wheat). Its description in RNAcentral is "partial small subunit ribosomal RNA". The record is from RNAcentral. Lineage: Eukaryota; Viridiplantae; Streptophyta; Magnoliopsida; Poales; Poaceae.